Non-coding RNA from Equus caballus (horse), 581 nucleotides. NCBI's taxonomy places the organism in Eukaryota, Metazoa, Chordata, Mammalia, Perissodactyla, Equidae. The record is from RefSeq and is a predicted model, not a curated record.
GUGAAUCAAGGGUUCAGUCCUGAAUGGUCAGGAAGGUCAUUAUGGCAAAAAGAAAGACAGAGAGAAAAGGAAGGUAGGUUCAUCUUUCUGAAGGGCUUGGAUACAGAAGGAAAGAGGAGAUGAAUCCAUGGAUGUUCAUCAGUUAUACCAUGUUUGCAGCAAUUACAAAACAUAUUUUUUCGGAAAUGUUGGGCGGACCUGUUGGCACCUGAGUGGAGGUGGAGAUGCUGGAGUUCGAGGGAAAGUCUCUGAUGCAUUGCAUCUCCACUGUCUGUGUUUUGAGCUCUCUGGCUUUAUUAAGAAUCUGUUUUUAUGGGAAAAACCUUCCCUGAUAUGUCCACCUUAACAGGCACCCUUAAAUGAGAAGACUCCAAACCUCUUGGACACAAUGGAAUACAUUCGUUGAUUGGUAUGCAGAAGCUUCUAGAAGAUAAAAUGAUUUAAAAAAAAACAGCUCUAAAAGGAUCCUUACAGCACAUAAAUAAAAAAAUCUUUAAUGAAAAACUUUGGCCAUCUGAUGAGGUAAGUUAAUGUAUUGCCAGAAAAACAAUUUGGAUCUAACUAUAACAUUGAAUUUUGUA